Molecule: long non-coding RNA, 245 nt
Organism: Gordionus sp. m RMFG-2023
Lineage: Eukaryota; Metazoa; Nematomorpha; Gordioida; Chordodea; Parachordodidae
Exons: 3
Source: RefSeq, a predicted model, not a curated record
UAGAUUCAUUGAAUAAUGAAGAAAGUAUUGUGAAUGACAUGAUUGUAAAUAAUGUAAGUACAGAAGGAAAGAAAAUAGAAGCACUAUGUGUGGCUCAAUCUGAAGAUAUAUGUGAGAUCCAAUGUACAGAUAUCUCUGAAUACAUAGAAUCUGAAGAGGAUACUACAACAAGCCAGAUUCUUGGUAGCAGUAAAUAUAAAGGUAUAUUGGAUAAAGAAGUUUUAUUGCAACAAAUUACAUUUGAU